RNAcentral lists this non-coding RNA (23 nucleotides) under Cricetulus griseus (Chinese hamster). Lineage: Eukaryota; Metazoa; Chordata; Mammalia; Rodentia; Cricetidae. The record is from RNAcentral.
GGGAACGUAACUUGAAUGCUUGU